RNAcentral lists this ribosomal RNA (484 nucleotides) under uncultured bacterium. Its description in RNAcentral is "partial 16S ribosomal RNA". It matches the Rfam family "Bacterial small subunit ribosomal RNA", at positions 30 to 507 of the family's 1533-position model. The record is from RNAcentral.
AUUGAACGCUGGCGGCAGGCCUAACACAUGCAAGUCGAGCGGAUGAAGGGAGCUUGCUCCUGGAUUCAGCGGCGGACGGGUGAGUAAUGCCUAGGAAUCUGCCUGGUAGUGGGGGAUAACGUCCGGAAACGGGCGCUAAUACCGCAUACGUCCUGAGGGAGAAAGUGGGGGAUCUUCGGACCUCACGCUAUCAGAUGAGCCUAGGUCGGAUUAGCUAGUUGGUGGGGUAAAGGCCUACCAAGGCGACGAUCCGUAACUGGUCUGAGAGGAUGAUCAGUCACACUGGAACUGAGAAACGGUCCAGACUCCUACGGGAGGCAGCAGGGGGGAAUAUUGGACAAUGGGCGAAAGCCUGAUCCAGCAAUGCCGCGUGUGUGAAGAAGGUCUUCGGAUUGUAAAGCACUUUAAGUUGGGAGGAAGGGCAGUAAGUUAAUACCUUGCUGUUUUGACGUUACCAACAGAAUAAGCACCGGCUAACUUCGUG